AGGCCGGCUGGCCGCAGGGGAACCUUUCCUCUCCGGGUUCAGGGUCCGGGAGCAAACCCCGAGCUGCGGCAAAAAGGGCUGGUAGGCUCUCCUGCACCCCCGCUUGCUCCCCCGCCUUCCCUGUGUCCCCCGGCUUUUCCAGGAGGAAGAUGGGGUACCCAGCGGGGGUGGGGCGCGCCGGGCCGCGGAGCCGGGCUGUCACGUGCCCCCCUCUCCCCACACCCCCCGCCACUGCGGCGGGAGUUCCAAUCAGAGCGCGCCAGGGGGCUCCUCCCGGGCAGGAACCACCCGGCUCGGCGGCGGAGGGUGGGCCGCCGUCACCUGACCGCCCGCCCCCGCCCCCCGCGAGUAAGGGGCGGUGGUAGCGUCUGCUCGGUUACAAAUGGCCCCUCCCGCCCCGCUCGCCCGCUCGCUCGGGCUCGGCGCGGACCCGCCCGGGAGCGCUCCUCCCGCCGGCUGCCGGCGUCCCGCCGCCCUGCCCGGAGCCGGCCGGCGGUCCCCGCCAACCCCCGAGGGCGCUCCUGGCACCCAGCACGGAGGCUUGCCCGCGGAGGUCGCGCCGGGAGACUGGACCGCGGUAGCGCGCGGCUUGCCUUCCCGCAGGUGAACUUUGAUAUGGUGGACGGUGACUCUUCUCCUGCAUGCGAGUGGUGGUUCAAACCCUCUAAACGCAAGGCUGACUGAUCCCUUCAAGAGCGGCCUUCUUGAGCAGCAUUGUUCAAUGGAACUUUCUGCAAUGACAGGAAUGUUUGCUUUCCGCACCACCGGGUACAGAGCCACACGCCAUGUGGAGCUACUGAGCGCUUGAAGGUGGCUAGUGUGACUCAGAAACUGACCUUCAAAACCUUAUUUGAUUUUAAUUAAAAUGUAAAUUAAAAAGCCACAUGUAGCUGGGGCUGCAUGUAUUG
Molecule: long non-coding RNA, 908 nt
Filed under: Bos grunniens (domestic yak)
Lineage: Eukaryota; Metazoa; Chordata; Mammalia; Artiodactyla; Bovidae
Description: lncRNA (ENSBGRG00000015900.1)
Source: RNAcentral